This 724-nucleotide ribosomal RNA is filed under the name uncultured Verrucomicrobiota bacterium. Its description in RNAcentral is "uncultured Verrucomicrobia bacterium partial 16S ribosomal RNA". It matches the Rfam family "Bacterial small subunit ribosomal RNA", at positions 27 to 724 of the family's 1533-position model. The record is from RNAcentral. Lineage: Bacteria; Pseudomonadati; Verrucomicrobiota.
GAACGAACGCUGGCGGCGUGGAUAAGACAUGCAAGUCGGACGAGAGGCUUUUGAAGUUUACUUUGAGGGUCUCUAGUGGCGAACGGGUGAGUAACACGUGAGCAACGUGCCCGAAAGUGUGGGACAGCCCAGGGAAACUUGGAUUAAUACCGCAUGUGGACCAGCAGGUUUCCUGCUUGGUUUAAAGGUGGGGAUCGUAAGACCUACCGCUUUCGGAUCGGCUCGCGCCCUAUCAGCUUGUUGGUGAGGUAAAGGCUCACCAAGGCUACGACGGGUACCUGGUCUUAGAGGACGAUCAGGCACACUGGGACUGAGACACGGCCCAGACACCUACGGGUGGCAGCAGUCGAGGAUCAUGCACAAUGGGCGAAAGCCUGAUGCUGCGACGCCGCGUGGAGGAUGAAGGCCCUAGGGUCGUAAACUCCUGUCAUCAACGAGUAUGGCAACAUUGGUCAAUAUCCCGUGUUGUUGAUAGUAGUUGAAGAGGAAGGGACGGCUAACUUCGUGCCAGCAGCCGCGGUAAUACGAAGGUCCCAAGCGUUGUUCGGAUUCACUGGGCGUAAAGGGUGCGUAGGCGGCGCGGAAAGUCAGAUGUGAAAUCCCAGGGCUCAACCCUGGAACUGCAUCCGAUACUCCCGCGCUAGAGGACCGGAGAGGAGUCUGGAAUUCACGGUGUAGCAGUGAAAUGCGUAGAUAUCGUGAGGAACACUAAAUGCGAAGGCAG